CCUACGGGAGGCUGCAGUCAAGAAUAUUCCCCAAUGGGCGAAAGCCUGAGGGAGCGACGCCGCGUGAUGGAAGAAGCCCUUCGGGGUGUAAACAUCUUUUCUCAGGGAAAAACUCAUGAUGGUACCUGAGGAAUAAGAGGUUGCUAACUCUGUGCCAGCAGCAGCGGUAAUACAGAGACCUCAAGCGUUAUCCGGAUUUAUUGGGCGUAAAGCGUCUGUAGGUGGUUUGGCAAGUUGUGGGUCAAAGCUCCCGACUCAAUCGGGAAAAGGCCUACAAUACUGCUGAGCUGGAGGCCGGGAGAGGCAGAUGGAAUUGCCGGUGUAACGGUAAAAUGUGUUAAUAUCGGCAGGAACACCAAAUGCGAAGGCAUUCUGCUGGAACGCGCCUGACACUCAGAGACGAAAGCGUGGGGAGCGAAUAGGAUUAGAUACCCGGGUAG
Molecule: ribosomal RNA, 440 nt
Filed under: uncultured bacterium
Lineage: Bacteria
Description: bacterial SSU rRNA
Rfam family: Bacterial small subunit ribosomal RNA
Source: RNAcentral